UGGGGUAUAGCUCAGUGGUACAGCGCCUGCCUGGCAAGUGCAAGGUUGUGAGUUCGAUUCUCAAUACAACAA
RNAcentral lists this transfer RNA (72 nucleotides) under Cavia porcellus (domestic guinea pig). It matches the Rfam family "tRNA". Rfam says of the family: Transfer RNA (tRNA) molecules are approximately 80 nucleotides in length. Their secondary structure includes four short double-helical elements and three loops (D, anti-codon, and T loops). The record is from Rfam by way of RNAcentral. Lineage: Eukaryota; Metazoa; Chordata; Mammalia; Rodentia; Caviidae.